GGAGGUAUGGUUCAAAGAGUACUUGCUUGGUAAGCAUCUGGCCCUGAGUUCAAACCUCAGUACUGCUC
RNAcentral lists this transfer RNA (68 nucleotides) under Dipodomys ordii (Ord's kangaroo rat). It matches the Rfam family "tRNA". Rfam says of the family: Transfer RNA (tRNA) molecules are approximately 80 nucleotides in length. Their secondary structure includes four short double-helical elements and three loops (D, anti-codon, and T loops). The record is from Rfam by way of RNAcentral. Lineage: Eukaryota; Metazoa; Chordata; Mammalia; Rodentia; Heteromyidae.